This is a long non-coding RNA of Daktulosphaira vitifoliae (grape phylloxera), 620 nucleotides long. RefSeq lists it as uncharacterized. NCBI's taxonomy places the organism in Eukaryota, Metazoa, Arthropoda, Insecta, Hemiptera, Phylloxeridae. The transcript has 3 exons. The record is from RefSeq and is a predicted model, not a curated record.
CUACGUACGUGCGUGGACAAAUCGCCAGCUUACAACCUUUAUUAAAAUAAUAAUUAGCUCAAAAUAAAAGAAUCAUGUUAUUCUAAGAUUAUGAAUAUAAUGUAUAAAUAGAUGUGUUGAAUAUAAGAGAGCAUAGAUAUACAAGAUUUUAAAAGAAUGGAAAAUUCUUAUUGGUGUACUAAGUAACCAGUAGUUGUAUAAAGUAUGAACUAUACUGAAAGUAUGAUGAAAAAUGGUAAUUCUUGCUAUGUUAGUUGCAAUAUUCAAGACAACUCAGAAUAUGAAGAUUUUUCUUCUUUGUUACCCUUGAAUAAUGAGGAAGACAUAAAAAUAUUUGAAUAUAAACUUACUGAUGUCUCCUUCAAAACAAAAGCCAUUAUGGAAUUGACAAGAUUAAACAGAAAUACUUUGCCGAGCACUGUCUGCAACAUUAUGGGCUAUUUAUUUUGUGAUGCUGUUUUAACAUUGUAUAGUUACAAAUAAAUAUUGUUUAAAUUAACUUUUACUUUUUGUAAAAAUUUUUUAAUUUCUUUAUUAAAAAUCUUUAAAAGUUGUAUUUUCUGAUUUUAUAAAAUCAGAAUUUAAAAAGAAAAUGUUUUAAUGUGAUGAUAUAAUAUAAU